This 400-nucleotide ribosomal RNA is filed under the name uncultured bacterium. RNAcentral describes it as "bacterial SSU rRNA". It matches the Rfam family "Bacterial small subunit ribosomal RNA", at positions 356 to 773 of the family's 1533-position model. The record is from RNAcentral.
GGGGAAUAUUGGACAAUGGGGGAAACCCUGAUCCAGCAAUGCCGCGUGAAUGAAGAAGGCCUUAGGGUUGUAAAGUUCUUUCACCUGUGAAGAUAAUGACGGUAGCAGGAGAAGAAGCCCCGGCUAACUCCGUGCCAGCAGCCGCGGUAAGACGGAGGGGGCUAGCGUUGUUCGGAAUGACUGGGCGUAAAGGGCGCGUAGGCGGUUUUUUAAGUGAGGCGUGAAAGCCCUGGGCUUAACCCAGGAGGUGCGUUUCAGACUGGAAGACUUGAGUGCGAGAGAGGAAAGUGGAAUUUCUAGUGUAGAGGUGAAAUUCGUAGAUAUUAGAAAGAACACCCGUGGCGAAGGCGGCUUUCUGGCUCGCAACUGACGCUGAGGCGCGAAAGCGUGGGGAGCAAAC